GAUUGGUCUCCACAAAUUCCACGUGCGUGGAAAAAAAGAUCAGGAUCUGGGAAUAUUUUUUUAUUCUCGUAGCUUAGUUUAGCUCAAUACCUAUACCAAGCUAAGCUAAAUUAGUUCAGCUCACGGUGUGGCUUUCACUUUACUACGGUAACAAUGGUUUAUAAAACAAAAAAAGGCAUAAACGAGAUUCCGAAGCAGAGUCAGGAUGUUUGAUCGAGUCGCACUGACGUUUCUAGCGAUUGCGUUCGUUGUAGCACAAUACGAAUACUCCAUGUCUGCAAACCUCCCUAACUACAUAAAGAAAUCACUGCGUGAAAAGAACCGAUAUAGACCAAAACCAAGGGAGAUGAAAAAGACAAUGUCUAACCUCACGCUGGAAGAGGUGUUCGAUAAAAUAAAGGACAUUACUAGAGCUCUCAACCAACACGCGAAGAAAAAUGGAUAUUUUGUCGACUACAAGCUUCGAAUGUUAGAUGGACAUUAAAGGGUUUUUUGCGUUUAAAACGAAAACAGGUGAUAGUACUGAUGAUUACUGUUAACGUUACCACAAAAAUAACGUGUUUUUUUU
Maniola jurtina (meadow brown) is the source of this 568-nucleotide long non-coding RNA. RefSeq lists it as uncharacterized. The record is from RefSeq and is a predicted model, not a curated record. The transcript has 2 exons. NCBI's taxonomy places the organism in Eukaryota, Metazoa, Arthropoda, Insecta, Lepidoptera, Nymphalidae.